This 465-nucleotide ribosomal RNA is filed under the name uncultured bacterium. RNAcentral's name for it is "partial 16S ribosomal RNA". It matches the Rfam family "Bacterial small subunit ribosomal RNA", at positions 28 to 507 of the family's 1533-position model. The record is from RNAcentral.
GACGAACGCUGGCGGCGUGCUUAACACAUGCAAGUCGAACGGAAAGGCCCCCUUGUGGGGUACUCGAGUGGCGAACAGGUGAGUAGCACGUGAGUAACCUACCCUUGACUUUGGGAUAACUUCAGGAAACUGGGGCUAAUACCGGAUAGGAGCUCCUGCUGCAUGGUGGGGGUUGGAAAGUUUCGGCGGUUGGGGAUGGACUCGCGGCUUAUCAGCUUGUUGGUGGGGUAGUGGCUCACCAAGGCUUUGACGGGUAGCCGGCCUGAGAGGGUGACCGGCCACAUUGGGACUGAGAUACGGCCCAGACUCCUACGGGAGGCAGCAGUGGGGAAUAUUGCACAAUGGGCGGAAGCCUGAUGCAGCAACGCCGCGUGCUGGAUGACGGCCUUCGGGUUGUAAACCGCUUUCGCCUGUGACGAAGCGUGAGUGACGGUAAUGGGUAAAGAAGCACCGGCUAACUACGUG